CAGCCGCCACGGUAAUACGGAGGGUGCAAGCGUUAAUCGGAAUUACUGGGCGUAAAGCGCACGCAGGCGGUCUGACAAGUCAGAUGUGAAAUCCCCGGGCUUAACCUGGGAACUGCAUUUGAAACUGUCAGGCUGGAGUCUUGUAGAGGGGGGUAGAAUUCCAGGUGUAGCGGUGAAAUGCGUAGAGAUCUGGAGGAAUACCGGUGGCGAAGGCGGCCCCCUGGACAAAGGCUGACGCUCAGGUGCGAAAGCGUGGGGAGCAAACAGGAUUAGAUACCCCGGUAGUCCCUGUCUCUUAUAA
This 301-nucleotide ribosomal RNA is filed under the name uncultured bacterium. RNAcentral's name for it is "partial 16S ribosomal RNA". It matches the Rfam family "Bacterial small subunit ribosomal RNA", at positions 509 to 809 of the family's 1533-position model. The record is from RNAcentral.